CUCUUAUUCAGAGUGAUGGAGAUACAAAGGAUCUAUGAAGUCACGGCAACCCCGUUAGAAAACAGGAAGGUGCCAACCUGAGCGAGUAAUCGAACAAUAAGAG
This 103-nucleotide non-coding RNA is filed under the name Agathobacter rectalis. Its description in RNAcentral is "Eubacterium rectale SAM-I sequence". It matches the Rfam family "SAM riboswitch aptamer (S box leader)". Rfam says of the family: The SAM riboswitch is found upstream of a number of genes which code for proteins involved in methionine or cysteine biosynthesis in Gram-positive bacteria. The SAM riboswitch acts at the level of transcription termination control. RNAcentral also lists the same sequence under 1 other name. Lineage: Bacteria; Bacillati; Bacillota; Clostridia; Lachnospirales; Lachnospiraceae. The record is from RNAcentral.